Non-coding RNA from Potamilus streckersoni, 78 nucleotides. NCBI's taxonomy places the organism in Eukaryota, Metazoa, Mollusca, Bivalvia, Unionida, Unionidae. The record is from the annotation of a GenBank genome assembly.
GACCACUUCGGUGACCUAAAUGGUUAGAGCAUCCGCCUAAUAUGUGGAAGGUCGCGAGUUCGAACCCCGGCCUAGUCA